This 458-nucleotide ribosomal RNA is filed under the name uncultured bacterium. RNAcentral's name for it is "bacterial SSU rRNA". It matches the Rfam family "Bacterial small subunit ribosomal RNA", at positions 338 to 795 of the family's 1533-position model. The record is from RNAcentral.
CCUANGGGAGGCAGCAGUGAGGAAUAUUGGGCAAUGCCCGCAAGGGUGACCCAGCAACGCCGCGUGGAGGAUGAAUGCCGUAAGGUUGUAAACUCCUUUUGAAGGGGACGAAAAAACAGAUAGUCUCUGUAUUGACUGUACCCUUAGAAGAAGCCCCGGCUAACUACGUGCCAGCAGCCGCGGUAAUACGUAGGGGGCAAGCGUUGUCCGGAUUUACUGGGUGUAAAGGGCGCGUAGGCGGGUUUGUUAGUCAGAGGUGAAAUCCUGCAGCUUAACUGUAGAACUGCCUCUGAUACUGCAAAUCUUGAGUUCAGAAGAGAGAAGCGGAAUUCCAGGUGUAGUAGUGAAAUACGUAGAUAUCUGGAAGAACACCAGUGGCGAAGGCGGCUUCUUGGUCUGUAACUGACGCUGAGGCGCGAAAGCGUGGGGAGCAAACAGGAUUAGAUACCCUANUANUC